GACGAACGCUGGCGGCGUGCUUAACACAUGCAAGUCGAACGGAAAGGCCCUGCUUUUGUGGGGUGCUCGAGUGGCGAACGGGUGAGUAACACGUGAGUAACCUGCCCUUGACUUUGGGAUAACUUCAGGAAACUGGGGCUAAUACCGGAUAUGAGCUCCUGCUGCAUGGUGGGGGUUGGAAAGUUUCGGCGGUUGGGGAUGGACUCGCGGCUUAUCAGCUUGUUGGUGGGGUAGUGGCUUACCAAGGCUUUGACGGGUAGCCGGCCUGAGAGGGUGACCGGCCACAUUGGGACUGAGAUACGGCCCAGACUCCUACGGGGGGCAGCAGUGGGGAAUAUUGCACGAUGGGCGGAAGCCUGAUGCAGCAACGCCGCGUGCGGGAUGACGGCCUUCGGGUUGUAAACCGCUUUCGCCUGUGACGAAGCGUGAGUGACGGUAAUGGGUAAAGAAGCACCGGCUAACUACGUG
This 468-nucleotide ribosomal RNA is filed under the name uncultured bacterium. RNAcentral describes it as "partial 16S ribosomal RNA". It matches the Rfam family "Bacterial small subunit ribosomal RNA", at positions 28 to 507 of the family's 1533-position model. The record is from RNAcentral.